AAAAAGAAAACCUAUUCUUUCAGAGCACCGCACACCUAUGUGCCUCCAACACCAGACAGAAUUUCAUUUAGUAUUCCUUCUGGGAAAAUGAGGGAGAAAACCUUAAAACCUCUUUUCAGCAGGGAAAAUUUUCUACUCAUGAAACAUCCCCACAUCGCUGAAACAUCAACAAAAAAACUCAAUUUGUUAAGCUAGACAGUCAUACUGACGGCUGAAGUGGUUGCCGAAAACCAUCAAGAUACAGCUUCACAUCCACAGGUUAUCAGCACGAUGAGAUCCCCCGUCAUGUUGCUCGGUAAAAUUCUGGCGUUACUGCAUUAACCCCUACACUCCUCAAGCUUCUGCUGCAGCCUCACAUUAAACACUUACACAAUCAGCAAUUUCUUCCUGUUUCAGAGGUGGAACUAUUUCAUCCUCUUUCCAGCCAAGAGAAACCAAGAAAGCCAUCUCCUCUGGACUAGGUCUGUCUUGAGCAGGAUAGGAUUCCUCUUCCCCUGUUCCAAUGGGUUCAAACAACAUAACAGUUUCAUCAUCACUACAGUUGGACCCCAUGGAGCCAUCAUAAAUUUCUGCAGGUAUGAUGGACGGAGAGGAACCAGCAUUAUUUGUAUGGGGCUUCAUAUAUACAUCUUGUGUGUCAGCAAUUUCUGAUGAAGAGUUAAAAUCCCUGUUGUCAGACAGAACCUCUUGCAUUCCUUCAUCAAAAACAUCAUGUGGUUCCCAUGGUGGAUUGAUUUCCUCAUUGUCAGAAAGGUGCUGCUGAGAUCCCUCACAAGAAUUUGCUUCCUCACAAGAACUACUUCCAUGUUCCAUACAUUUGACUCCAGAAUCAAACAAUUCAAGACAAGAGUUGUUUUGCUCAUCAAGCAAUGUAGAUGAAGACACAGUAGAAGUGCACGAACCAUUCAAUGAUUUGCUGCGCAGCAACUCAAAGAAUUUAUGCUUAUCUUUCGCACUUGAUUUUCUCUCACCAAAUGAUCCUUGCAGUUGUAAAGGGAGACCAUUAGCAACACCCUUUAGCUUUUGGUUUACAAUAGGCUUUCUCAGUGGUUCUACUGAAUAUGAUCGGCCUAGAACAGGGCUCGCAGGAUUGCUAGUACUUUCUUUGGCAGUAUUUACAGUACCAUUCUGCUCACGGCUAAGGACUUGAAAGCUUCCUGAUUGAGUUGGCUUUACAAGCUCAUGUUUUACUGGAGCGCGAAUAAAGCUGCCAGAAAGCUGUAAUGGCAGUUGCAUUGUACCCUUGACAGGGCCAUUAGAAUCUCCAGCUCUUGCACCUUUGGAUUUUAACUUAUCUGAAGAACUUGAUACCUAAAUUUUGUUCGAAGAAGGUGUCCGAGGUCUUAGGAUGCACUGCUUCAUAGUUCUUUCUUCAAUCUUAUGAGUAUCGAUCGAUAACUGGGGUGUUGUCGAGAUUUUUAACGGAGCUUGCAUCACUGUUUCAGCCAUACUUAAUGCAGUCCCGCAGUUUGGCACUUCCAUCUGCUUACUGGAACCAGUGCGUAACAAAGAAGAUGGAACAGGGCAGUUGGUUGGUCCACUAAGUACAGGAACUUCUGCUAGCACUGAACUCCGCCCAUCAAGUGCAGUGCCCAAAGGCAUACUCUGAAUCGGGGUGCUAAUUCCAGGAGAUGGAACUCUACCUACAUCUUGCUUUCCAUUCUUGUCGUCAGAACCAAGGUGUGGAAAUUCUCGCUCAAAGGAGACACCACCAGAAACCUUUCUUGAUACACUACGAACACCAUUGUCUAAACUUUCUCCUACCGCCUGAUUCAAUGUAUCUACCUUCAAACGAGUAUGAUUAAGCCUGUCCCUUUCAGGUCUGCAUGAGCUGAAUGGCUUGAAGCCAUCAUACAAGGGAUCAUCAGGUGGACCCAACCUACUCUCCCAAUUACGGGAUUCAGAGUCCUUCUCACCCCCCCUGUCCCGGUUGCUCCUUCCAAAACUGGCAUAGCCUCUUGACUUUGCUGUACCAUCCCGGUCAUGCCGUCUAGGUCCAAUUGAGCCAGAACUCCUCCGUGAGAUGGACUGUUGUGAGCUCCGUUCACGGUCACGACCUGAUGAUUGGUUUCUUGAUGAAAUGCUCCUACCUUGAUCAUCUGCGCGGCGAAGAAGUUCCAGUCCAGAGGCUCGUGGCAGCCACUGCGCCAUGCCCCCGCACCAGCCAUUCUGGCUUCAGCGAGGGCUCACCUCGGUCCAUGCCGGGCCUGCACCCUCACCCCCCCUAAACUUCCACCAGCACCAGCAGCGGGCGGAGGCGCGACAGCGGCCACUGAUCCAAUCCGCCGCCACAACACGAUCCCCACACCACC
RNAcentral lists this small RNA (2312 nucleotides) under Oryza sativa Japonica Group (Japanese rice). Its description in RNAcentral is "sRNA Os04g0448250". The record is from RNAcentral. Lineage: Eukaryota; Viridiplantae; Streptophyta; Magnoliopsida; Poales; Poaceae.